AAACUAAAUUCAAUUUUAAAGUAUGUAUAAGGUUGAUAUUUUGACAAUUGUACUAAAAUAUAAUAAAGUUCAAUAAAUAAAUUAAUUAAAAUGAACCUGACUGUUCCGAGUUGAUGAAAGAGGCUCCAAUUUAAGCGAGAUUGUCACUUAGUUGUGUUGAAUGGAUCAGUACUUGUCUGACCGGAUUUUGGAGAAAAUCCACCAUGUGAAGAAUCUGAGACUUCUACUGGUAUAAUACUCCUCACGCUCAAUCUGAGAGUUCAAACCCAACUGCAACUACAAGGCCCAACUACAACGCCCAAGUUUUUUUUUAAGCAGAGAAGAUGUUAGUAGUUCAAUGAGUAUCUAACUUGUCAUGGUUAUUUGAUCACCAGGCCCAAACACAAAAGGCCCAACUACUUCUCUCCUUGAUCACUCUGUUAAGAAAAAUCCCGAUCUCAAGCUAGGGUUGAGGACCGAAAAUUGCAAGGGGCGGCGGAACUAUCUUUCUUCCUCGAUCUAAAUCAAAGAGCUCGCCGAGGAUGGAGACUCCGGCGUCGAGGUCAAUCGUCGUCGCGGUUCAAGGGCGAAGGGCGGACAAGCUCGUUGUCGCCGUCGUCGAUCGCAACAGCAGAAUCGUCGUCGUCGUCGUCGAACGUCGCAGCCCUUUAAGCAACAAACAUCGAAUACUUUAGAAAUUAAGGGUUGGGGCCCACUCUCCCAUGAAAAACCAUGAAGGGCUGCUGGGCUGGAUUCCUAUUAAUUCGCUCUUUUCAUAACAAACCGAUCAACGGCCACGGCCACUAACGGCCUCGUGCACGCGAUAACCGUCAAACUACUAGUGGGCCCAAUCAAUGGUUGCGAUUCGCCACGCUGCUCGAGGCUAUCUCCUCCAUCAAUCAAAGGAGGGGGAAAAGAACCCAAAAUUCCAAGAAUCUCCAUUAAGAAAGCAGAGCUCAGCCAUGGAAGGAGGAGGCCAAGGUGACGAGGGUUCAUAAAUCGAGAAUCCUAACGAAGCAGCAGACGAAACCUGAUCAUCGCUCAGUUCUCAGACAAAUCAGGAGAGCACCAAAACUGGAACUACUUUCACUGCCAUUGUGUACAUCGUAACCGCAUUGAUUGGAUCUGGGGUUUUAUCACUGGCAUGGAGUCUGGCUCAGUUGGGUUGGAUUGCUGGCAUUGCUUUCAUGCUUUUCAUUGCUGGACUCGCACAUUUCCAGUCUAUGGUGCUUGCUAAUUGCUACGGAUCAUCAUCAAACUGGCAUGAUGCCAACCAUCGUCCUAUUCGUACAUACAUGGAUACUGUGAGGGAAAAUUCAGGUGUGAAGGCUGCCUGGGUUUGUGUGCGCAUUCAGCAAACGUACAUGUUUGGGACUGCAAUAGCUUGCAACAUUACAUCUGCUGCUAGCAUGAGGUAUUAUGCUUUGAAUACCCCCUCUCCUUCUCUACUCAUUAAAGGUUUUAAAAAAACUCAUUGUAUGUUUUAGCUCGUCUUUCAUGAGUAACAAUGUCCACGAUCAUAAUGUUAGAUUAAACGGUUACAUUCUGAAUCAGAAUUUCAUUUAUUCUGUCAGAAGUUAUUCACUUUCAAGACUUAACUUCUAUGAUCAUGCAUUGUUCCGUACAUAUUUUUUCCAUUUAUUUUGAUUUUUGCUAAUAGACAUUACUUAAUGUUACUGCUUACAAGUUGCUAUAAAGUUAUUUCAAUUCUCUAUAAAUUUGUGCUGUGAUUAUCUAAUUCUCUUUUAAAUAAAGAGAUUAUGUUGAUUUUAGUCUAAUUAAACAUGAAAAAGAAAGAGAAUGAAAAGUUUUUUUCCCCUCUUGCUUGUUCCGCAUGCAGCGAAUUAUGGAAAUCUUUUUGGUUUCCAAUCAAAUGGAGUUCCUCCCUCCUGGUGUUUGGAGCUGCUCAGAUAAUUCUGUCAUACACAGUAUUUUCAUAACACGAGAAUCUUAACCUAUGUUCUGCAAUCAUGUCCAUCUUAUACACGUUCAUUGGACUUGCUCUCAGCUCUCUGGCCGCAUUCAAAGUGAUAGGUAAGUAGAAGCUCAGAAAUGCCUUUGCUUUUGAAAUCAAAGGUUGAGAUGUGAAUAACCAAUCUCAGAUAGAUGUUCGAAGUUAAUCAUUGCAACUUUUGAUGAUGUGAAGAGAAUGAAUAAUAUAAUAAAUAGAUAAAUGAUCAACUAGGAAAUUUGUGGAUAUAAAAUUAUUGCAGAUAUUAAGAAAAGAAAAUGUUGAACUGUUUGUAAGCAGCAUAAGCCCAUCUGGGGAAGAAAUGUCUGUGUUUACCUCAUAAGAUUGUUUGUGCAGAUGUUUCAGCAAAUAGAAAGAUACCUGUACGAAGAUUUGGUGGGAUUUAUAUGGAUUCGUCAUUUCCAAAAGUGUGGCUGAUUUUUCAAGAACUUGGGUAUAUACUAUUUGCCUAUCCGGUCACCACAAUUCUAUUCAACAUACAGAUUGGGUUCCUAUUUGUGAAGUUUUGGAAUCAUCAAUGCCUAUUGUAGUUUCUAAAUUGCAAGCAUUUACCUGUAUGUUGAAUAGAAUUGUGGUGACCGGAUAGGCAAAUAGUAUAUACCCAAGUCCUUGAAAAACCAGCCACACUUUUGGAGAUGACGAAUCCAUAUAAAUCCCACCAAAUCUUCGUACAGGUAUCUUUCUAUUUGCUGAAACAUCUGCACAAACAAUCUUAUGAGGUAAACACAGACAUUUCUUCCCCAGAUGGGCUUAUGCUGCUUACAAACAGUUCAACAUUUUCUUUUCUUAAUAUCAGCAAUAAUUUUAUAUCCACAAAUUUCCUAGUUGAUCAUUUAUCUAUUUAUUAUAUUAUUCAUUCUCUUCACAUCAUCAAAAGUUGCAAUGAUUAACUUCGAACAUCUAUCUGAGAUUGGUUAUUCACAUCUCAACCUUUGAUUUCAAAAGCAAAGGCAUUUCUGAGCUUCUACUUACCUAUCACUUUGAAUGCGGCCAGAGAGCUGAGAGCAAGUCCAAUGAACGUGUAUAAGAUGGACAUGAUUGCAGCGACAUAGGUUAAGAUUCUCGUGUUAUGAAAAUAUUGUGUAUGACAGAAUUAUCUGAGCAGCUCCAAACACCAGGAGGGAGGAACUCCAUUUGAUUGGAAACCAAAAAGAUUUCCAUAAUUCGCUGCAUGCGGAACAAGCAAGAGGAAAAAAAAAACUUUUCAUUCUUUUUCAUGUUUAAUUAGACUAGAAUCAGCAUAAUCUCUUUAUUUAAAAGAGAAUUAGAUAAUCACAGCACAAAUUUAUAGAGAAUUGAAAUAACUUUAUAGCAACUUGUAAGCAGUAACAUUAAGUAAUGUCUAUUAGCAAAAAUCAAAAUAAAUGGAAAAAAUAUGUACGGAACAAUGCAUGAUCAUAGAAGUUAAAUCUUGAAAGUGAAUGACUUCUGACAGAAUAAAUGAAAUUCUGAUUCAGAAUGUAACCGUUUAAUCUAAUAUUAUAAUCGUGGACAUUGUUACUCAUGAAA
Molecule: long non-coding RNA, 3460 nt
Organism: Asparagus officinalis (garden asparagus)
Lineage: Eukaryota; Viridiplantae; Streptophyta; Magnoliopsida; Asparagales; Asparagaceae
Exons: 4
Source: RefSeq, a predicted model, not a curated record